Long non-coding RNA from Centruroides sculpturatus (bark scorpion), 1614 nucleotides. RefSeq lists it as uncharacterized. The transcript has 3 exons. Lineage: Eukaryota; Metazoa; Arthropoda; Arachnida; Scorpiones; Buthidae. The record is from RefSeq and is a predicted model, not a curated record.
CUUUUACAAUGCAGACGAUGCGAAUCUAAUUUCCGCAAACGCCUCACUUAAAAAAUAUUAUUUUAAUAUUCAACUCUUCAAACUAAGUUUUUUUAGAAGAGUUUACAAUUUCCAUUUAAAUCUAAAUCUAGAUUUUUUUAUAUAAAAAAAAUAAAUAAUAAAAUAGAAGAAUAAAUCACAUUUGUUGCCAACCAACUGGGGAGUUGUUGGCAAGCUACAAAAGCUGGAAGAAUUGGAUGUAGUUUGGAGGAGGAGAAACUAAAGAAAGAAGUGCAUUUGGCUGUUUUCUUACAAAAGAUAAACUGGAGCUUGAUUAACAGAUCAACUGACUCGAAAAGAAAAUAAUCAAAAAUGCAUCGAGGCUAAAAUCAGUAACUAAUUUGACAAUGAUCGAUGAUGAUAUGAAAGUUCGAAAGCGUAAAAUGCAUAGGAUCAGGAUUUUCGUGGCAAGAAACCGGACUCUAAUGACCUUUUUUUUUUUCUUUUCUUUUUACCUUACAGAAAUCACAUUAAGUAACGUUUAGUAAUCACAUUAAAGAUGCUUACAUCAAAUUUUUAGACAAUACCCCGACUAACUUGGCCCAUAUCCAAUACGGAAAUUCUGCGACAUUAACAAAACUAUGAAGGAAAAAGGUCAUUGAAAUUGCUUUUACGAGAUCGUCGAGUUCAAGUUCUACUACACUUUUGCUUUUUGUGUUUUUUUCUUUUCUUCCUUUUCCUAAAUGAAACAAGAUUCUUUACUGAAAUUAAUGACUUUGGUCGUUUCAAGUCCACUUUUCUGAGAAACUAGAAUUGCUCUCUUGAUACUGAUGCGAUGAUUUAGAACUAGAGAAGGUGAAUAAAAGCUUUAUGUGAAUAGAACAUGUUUAAUUCCAUUGGGAAAUUUAGAACCUGCUGUUUUUUUCAAGAAGGUUUUAACUUUUUAUAAAUAUAAAACAUAUUUUCUUUUAUGUUUCCAGUUAAAAAUAAUGAUUAAUUUUAGAUCUAUUCCUAGCAAGAUACAGUCAAACGCCGUUCUAAAUAGAGCCACCCUUAUAAAUCGCAAUGAAUACUUCUAAAAGGAUCCUCCUCAUAAAUAAAGAAUUCUUUCGCAGAGAUUCUCAUCCUCAAGUGUCCAAAUGUCAUAUCUAUAGCUUAGAUAAUGUACGAUUUUGCAUUCUAAAUGGCAUUUCUAUUUGUCCAAAGACCCCAAUACUGCACACCAAUCUUAACGUUUGGGGUUAUUCAAUUUAAUACUACAUUCGAUUUAGUAUCCAUUUUAGAAGCGAACAAACAGAGGCGCUAAAUUGACGUUUGACAAUACUUGUUCAAUAAGAAAGAAGCAUUUUUCUACCAAGAUUUAUGUGGAGACGAAGCUGUUAGUCGCGUCGUGUCGCGUAAGCAUGCGACGUGACUAAUAACUUUCUCUCAUGAUUUAAAAAAUGAAGUAAUAAUUAUUUACUUAUUUAUUUUGUGAGCUGUUCGACCUUAAUACGUUAAUGAAAUCUACUCGGGUCAUUGAGUGUUAUAAAGCCUGGAAAAAAGAGGAAACCCGUACGCACUUGUUUAUCAGGGAAAAUUUUUCAAUUUGAACAGGUACGAAGCGGUGCAAAAUAGAGAAACUGGAACAGGGAA